RNAcentral lists this ribosomal RNA (585 nucleotides) under uncultured bacterium. RNAcentral describes it as "bacterial SSU rRNA". It matches the Rfam family "Bacterial small subunit ribosomal RNA", at positions 153 to 736 of the family's 1533-position model. The record is from RNAcentral.
GAAACGUGGAUUAAUACUCCAUAGUAUCGUUUUUUCGCAUGUUAAAACGAUUAAAACUUCGGUGGUAUAAGAUGGGCAUGCGUAGGAUUAGGUAGUUGGUGAGGUAACGGCUCACCAAGCCAGCGAUCCUUAGGGGUUCUGAGAGGAUUAUCCCCCACACUGGUACUGAGACACGGACCAGACUCCUACGGGAGGCAGCAGUGAGGAAUAUUGGUCAAUGGACGAGAGUCUGAACCAGCCAUCCCGCGUGCAGGAUGACGGCCCUAUGGGUUGUAAACUGCUUUUCUACGCCAAGAAAUGCACUUACGUGUAAGUGUUUGACGGUAGCGUAGGAAUAAGCAUCGGCUAACUCCGUGCCAGCAGCCGCGGUAAUACGGAGGAUGCAAGCGUUAUCCGGAUUCAUUGGGUUUAAAGGGUGCGCAGGCGGGCUUGUAAGUCAGUGGUGAAAUACUGCCGCUCAACGGUAGAACUGCCAUUGAUACUGCAAGUCUUGAAUAUGGUUGAGGUAGGCGGAAUGUGUCGUGUAGCGGUGAAAUGCAUAGAUAUGACACAGAACGCCAAUUGCGAAGGCAGCUUACUAAGCCA